RNAcentral lists this ribosomal RNA (515 nucleotides) under uncultured bacterium. RNAcentral's name for it is "partial 16S ribosomal RNA". It matches the Rfam family "Bacterial small subunit ribosomal RNA", at positions 28 to 523 of the family's 1533-position model. The record is from RNAcentral.
GAUGAACGCUGGCGGCGUGCCUAGUACAUGCAAGUCGAGCGAAUGGAUUAAGAGCUUGCUCUUAUGAAGUUAGCGGCGGACGGGCGAGUAACACGUGGGUAACCUGCCCAUAAGACUGGGAUAACUCCGGGAAACCGGGGCUAAUACCGGAUAACAUUUUGAACCGCAUGGUUCGAAAUUGAAAGGCGGCUUCGGCUGUCACUUAUGGAUGGACCCGCGUCGCAUUAGCUAGUUGGUGAGGUAACGGCUCACCAAGGCAACGAUGCGUAGCCGACCUGGGAGGGUGAUCGGCCACACUGGGACUGAGACACGGCCCAGACUCCUACGGGAGGCAGCAGUAGGGAAUCUUCCGCAAUGGACGAAAGUCUGACGGAGCAACGCCGCGUGAGUGAUGAAGGCUUUCGGGUCGUAAAACUCUGUUGUUAGGGAAGAACAAGUGCUAGUUGAAUAAGCUGGCACCUUGACGGUACCUAACCAGAAAGCCACGGCUAACUACGUGCCAGCCGCCGCGGUAA